ACUCUUCUACAUCAACGUUUUUUUGCAACAGCGCCGCCGCCGCGAACAGCACAGCUUCUCGUCGGAAAUCACGCUCGGCUAGGUAGCGUACAAUCUUUAUUCCAUGGCGUACAGCUCUCAAUUACUUUCCUCGAGGCGUCACGAACAGCAAAGUUCCAAGGUUAUAAGGUGAUUUGUGCAUGAUGGUCUUGUCAGUUAGUUCAAAAGGAACCUUGUGUGACUUCAUCGAUUGUGGACAGCUUCCUAUGCAUACAAGUUCAGGGUAGGUCAUUGCAACAUUCUCCAUGCACUUGAGAACUUGUAGGUUAUCUUGUCUACCCUGCUGUGUCUACCCUGCUGUAGCCAGACUAAACCUCCUUGUCUUUCCGUCUAUUAUCUACUCCUGCUUCCUUCCUCUUUCGAAUAAAACCGCACCGUCCCAAUAUACAUUGAUUCUGUUUAUAUCUGGUCUGGAUAGCAAGAAGUCAUACGUCGCACCUUCUAUCACCAAUACUUUACUCUAUUUUAUGACCUUGGAACUCAAUGUUUACUGAGGCCCACAGAUUAUGCAAUGUCACUUUUACAUCGUAACCUUGUACUCUUCCACGACGCAGGUGACUUGCAUCCACCAGCUUGGCAUUUAUUAUAGACACAGAAGCACUGCUGUCUACCAAUGCCAUUACAUGACUGUUUCCCACUUUGACAGGAACUUGAAGUAGGCUACAGCAAGCGAAAUAAAGUCUCAGUUGCAGUCAUCAGGUUGGACUCAUCACCCUUGUUUAUUAGUUUCUUUUGUCGCCAAAAACUCUUGAGCAUCAUUGUCAACAUCAUUCACCUGACCUGGGGGAGUGAGCAAGUUCUCUGCUCCUUGCAAAGUGGCUCAGUUCUCGCUGAUUACAGCAUGACCAAUCUGUGUCGGUCCGUACAAAGUGACUGCUUGAGUUAGUAGUUAUUUUUUUUUUCUGAUUAGGUGACAUGUCUUGAAGGCACUCCAGGAACCUGUUGAGGUGAUCAUAUGGGCCUUUGGAUAGAACAUGAAGAUGCACAAGAGCCUGGGGAGGGGAGAAAAGGAGGAUGAAGUUGGAAUAAAGGUAGACAAGAUGGAUGCCAGUUCCACAGGAA
Molecule: long non-coding RNA, 1101 nt
Filed under: Dermacentor andersoni
Lineage: Eukaryota; Metazoa; Arthropoda; Arachnida; Ixodida; Ixodidae
Description: uncharacterized LOC126529166
Source: RNAcentral